AUGCUCCUCCUUGAGGUCCAUCUCGACGAUCUCACCGAGGACGACAUCCUUUGGAAACAUACGGCAAGUGGGCAAUACUCGGCGGCCUCUGCAUACAAGGCGCAAUACCUAGGGAUGGUCCUCUCACCCAUGGAUAAGAUGGUUUGGAAGGCUUGGGCACCUUUAAAAAUCAAAUUCUUUGCUUGGUUGGCGCUCCAAGAUAGAAUUUGGACCGCCGAUAGGUUGGCAAAGCGUGGGUGGCCAAAUUAUGAUCUUUGCCCUUUUUGCAAGAGGGUGCAAGAAUGCGGACCUCACCUCUUCUACAAAUGCCGCUAUACUCGAAGGCUUUGGUCAUUGGUCAUCGAGAAAUUACUCAUUCUCGGUCUAGACACUUUCGCUUGGCCCUUCUUUGACUCGGUUAAAGAUUGGUGGGCGAGUACUUGCACCGACGGCACGCCAAACCGACAAGCCAAGGCAUCGCUCACCAUGCUUGUGUCAUGGACAAUUUGAAACGAGCGUAACGCAAGAGUUUUCAAACAUAAGAGUGCUCCACCGACAAUCUUGCUCUCCUCCAUCUCUACUGAGGCCAACCUUUGA
Molecule: ribosomal RNA, 576 nt
Filed under: Triticum aestivum (bread wheat)
Lineage: Eukaryota; Viridiplantae; Streptophyta; Magnoliopsida; Poales; Poaceae
Description: partial small subunit ribosomal RNA
Source: RNAcentral